RNAcentral lists this ribosomal RNA (468 nucleotides) under uncultured bacterium. RNAcentral's name for it is "partial 16S ribosomal RNA". It matches the Rfam family "Bacterial small subunit ribosomal RNA", at positions 28 to 507 of the family's 1533-position model. The record is from RNAcentral.
GACGAACGCUGGCGGCGUGCUUAACACAUGCAAGUCGAACGGAAAGGCCCUGCUUUUGUGGGGUGCUCGAGUGGCGAACGGGUGAGUAACACGUGAGUAACCUGCCCUUGACUUUGGGAUAACUUCAGGAAACUGGGGCUAAUACCGGAUAGGAGCUCCUGCUGCAUGGUGGGGGUUGGAAAGUUUCGGCGGUUGGGGAUGGACUCGCGGCUUAUCAGCUUGUUGGUGGGGUAGUGGCUUACCAAGGCUUUGACGGGUAGCCGGCCUGAGAGGGUGACCGGCCACAUUGGGACUGAGAUACGGCCCAGACUCCUACGGGAGGCAGCAGUGGGGAAUAUUGCACAUUGGGCGGAAGCCUGAUGCAGCAACGCCGCGUGCGGGAUGACGGCCUUCAGGUUGUAAACCGCUUUCGCCUGUGACGAAGCGUGAGUGACGGUAAUGGGUAAAGAAGCACCGGCUAACUACGUG